Molecule: transfer RNA, 75 nt
Filed under: Helianthus annuus (common sunflower)
Lineage: Eukaryota; Viridiplantae; Streptophyta; Magnoliopsida; Asterales; Asteraceae
Description: tRNA-Glu
Rfam family: tRNA
About the family: Transfer RNA (tRNA) molecules are approximately 80 nucleotides in length. Their secondary structure includes four short double-helical elements and three loops (D, anti-codon, and T loops).
Source: RNAcentral
GUUCCAUUGUUGUCCAGCGGUUAGGAUAUCUGGCUUUCACCCAGGAGACCCGGGUUCGAUUCCCGGCAAUGGAAC